Molecule: transfer RNA, 93 nt
Filed under: Erythrobacter sp. EC-HK427
Lineage: Bacteria; Pseudomonadati; Pseudomonadota; Alphaproteobacteria; Sphingomonadales; Erythrobacteraceae
Description: tRNA-His
Source: RNAcentral
AGCGGAUUGUCUACAACUGGUUCACAAGCCGGCAGUCCGCUUGUGGCGAUCACAAUCCGGGUGUCGGGGGUUCGAGUCCCUCCUCCGCUACCA